UACGGCAGUGCGGUCACGCCAGUGCUGGGUGUCGACUCCUUCAGCCUGCCUGAUGGCGCAGGCAUCGACCCCGCCUUCAGCAACCCCAUCCGAUUCCCCUUCGGAUUCACCUGGCCAGUGAGUGGGCACCUGCGCGCACUCCGCUGGGCCUGGCCGGGUAGGGGUGGCGGGCUGGUGGCUGGCAGUGGGAGGGAGGCACGGGCCACUGAUAAGGGUUGGGAAAUCCCACAAAGCCACGCCUGGGGUCUUGACUUCUUUCUGGGAACUGGCCGGCAGUUGAGGAGGGGAUGUGGGACACCAGAAGCUUUUGCAAGCCCGGGGCAUUUCUCACAAACCUCAAGGGUCGAAUGCUUCCCCCACCCCCCCCAAAGUUGGGAGAGUUCUUGUUCCCUAGCUCCUAGGCCUGGGUUGGGUCGCUCCCAGUGCUGCGACUGCUCGCUACCCUCGAGGUUCUAUCCCCAGAAAACUAAUGACAGCUGCCCUCUUCUAGCACCCCACCUUGUUGGUUUCAGUACUCUCUCUUAAAAA
RNAcentral lists this long non-coding RNA (528 nucleotides) under Rattus norvegicus (Norway rat). Its description in RNAcentral is "long non-coding RNA NONRATT003616". The record is from RNAcentral. Lineage: Eukaryota; Metazoa; Chordata; Mammalia; Rodentia; Muridae.